AUUGAACGCUGGCGGCAGGCCUAACACAUGCGAGUCGAGCGGAUGAAGGGAGCUUGCUCCUGGAAUCAGCGGCGGACGGGUGAGUAAUGCCUAGGAAUCUGCCUGGUAGUGGGGGAUAACGUCCGGAAACGGGCGCUAAUACCGCAUACGUCCUGAGGGAGAAAGUGGGGGAUCUUCGGACCUCACGCUAUCAGAUGAGCCUAGGUCGGAUUAGCUAGUUGGUGGGGUAAAGGCCUACCAAGGCGACGAUCCGUAACUGGUCUGAGAGGAUGAUCAGUCACACUGGAACUGAGACACGGUCCAGACUCCUACGGGAGGCAGCAGUGGGGAAUAUUGGACAAUGGGCGAAAGCCUGAUCCAGCCAUGCCGCGUGUGUGAAGAAGGUCUUCGGAUUGUAAAGCACUUUAAGUUGGGAGGAAGGGCAGUAAGUUAAUACCUUGCUGUUUUGACGUUACCAACAGAAUAAGCACCGGCUAACUUCGUG
This 484-nucleotide ribosomal RNA is filed under the name uncultured bacterium. RNAcentral describes it as "partial 16S ribosomal RNA". It matches the Rfam family "Bacterial small subunit ribosomal RNA", at positions 30 to 507 of the family's 1533-position model. The record is from RNAcentral.